RNAcentral lists this ribosomal RNA (465 nucleotides) under uncultured bacterium. RNAcentral's name for it is "partial 16S ribosomal RNA". It matches the Rfam family "Bacterial small subunit ribosomal RNA", at positions 28 to 507 of the family's 1533-position model. The record is from RNAcentral.
GACGGACGCUAGCGGCGUGCUUAACACAUGCAAGUCGAACGGAAAGGCCCCAGCUUGCUGGGGUACUCGAGUGGCGAACGGGUGAGUAACACGUGGGUGAUCUGCCCUGCACUCUGGGAUAAGCCUGGGAAACUGGGUCUAAUACCGGAUAGGACCGUGCUUUAGUGUGUGCGGUGGAAAGUUUUUCGGUGCAGGAUGAGCCCGCGGCCUAUCAGCUUGUUGGUGGGGUAAUGGCCUACCAAGGCGGCGACGGGUAGCCGGCCUGAGAGGGUGUACGGCCACAUUGGGACUGAGACACGGCCCAGACUCCUACGGGAGGCAGCAGUGGGGAAUAUUGCACAAUGGGCGCAAGCCUGAUGCAGCGACGCCGCGUGGGGGAUGACGGCCUUCGGGUUGUAAACCCCUUUCGGCAGGGACGAAGCUUUUGUGACGGUACCUGCAGAAGAAGCACCGGCUAACUACGUG